AGUGAACGCUGGCGGUAGGCCUAACACAUGCAAGUCGAACGGCAGCACAGAGGAGCUUGCUCCUUGGGAGGCGAGUGGCGGACGGGUGAGGAAUACAUCGGAAUCUACUCUGUCGUGGGGGAUAACGUAGGGAAACUUACGCUAAUACCGCAUACGACCUACGGGUGAAAGCAGGGGACCUUCGGGCCUUGCGCGAUUGAAUGAGCCGAUGUCGGAUUAGCUAGUUGGCGGGGUAAAGGCCCACCAAGGCGACGAUCCGUAGCUGGUCUGAGAGGAUGAUCAGCCACACUGGAACUGAGACACGGUACAGACUCAGACGGGAGGCAGCAGUGGGGAAUAUUGGACAAUGGGCGCAAGCCUGAUCCAGCCAUACCGCGUGGGUGAAGAAGGCCUUCGGGUUGUAAAGCCCUUUUGUUGGGAAAGAAAUCCAGCUGGCUAAUACCCGGUUGGGAUGACGGUACCCAAAGAAUAAGCACCGGCUAACUUCGUGCCAGCAGCCGCCGUAA
RNAcentral lists this ribosomal RNA (506 nucleotides) under uncultured bacterium. RNAcentral's name for it is "partial 16S ribosomal RNA". It matches the Rfam family "Bacterial small subunit ribosomal RNA", at positions 29 to 523 of the family's 1533-position model. The record is from RNAcentral.